UGGUGGAGCGAUUUGUCUGAUUAAUUCCGAUAACGAACGAGACUCUGGCCUAUUAAAUAGUUCGCCGAUUCCGAUCUGUCGGCGUUAACUUCUUAGAGGGACAAGUGGCUUUUAGCCACGCGAGAUUGAGCAAUAACA
RNAcentral lists this ribosomal RNA (138 nucleotides) under uncultured eukaryote. Its description in RNAcentral is "partial 18S ribosomal RNA". It matches the Rfam family "Eukaryotic small subunit ribosomal RNA", at positions 1299 to 1458 of the family's 1831-position model. The record is from RNAcentral.